CAUGUCCCAAACAUGUCUUACACAAGCACACAAAUAACCCAAAUGUCAUGGCAUGAAUAUCCGAAUUGUUUCUUAAGGUUCAAACGGGAAUUCUACUAUCUCAAUAUUCAUUAUACAUAAUCAUUUCCACAACCAAGCAAUUCAUGCUAUAUCAAUUUAAACACAUAUAAUAAUAAUGUAGUUGUAUUAUUUACAUACAACUUACUCGUUCCAAUGGAAUCUCAUAUUCCAUCAAAUCUCC
RNAcentral lists this long non-coding RNA (241 nucleotides) under Gossypium barbadense (sea-island cotton). Its description in RNAcentral is "long non-coding RNA (GBAR_LNC003134)". The record is from RNAcentral. Lineage: Eukaryota; Viridiplantae; Streptophyta; Magnoliopsida; Malvales; Malvaceae.